This 254-nucleotide ribosomal RNA is filed under the name Acidobacterium sp. RNAcentral's name for it is "partial 16S ribosomal RNA". It matches the Rfam family "Bacterial small subunit ribosomal RNA", at positions 524 to 776 of the family's 1533-position model. Lineage: Bacteria; Pseudomonadati; Acidobacteriota; Terriglobia; Terriglobales; Acidobacteriaceae. RNAcentral also lists the same sequence under 1 other name. The record is from RNAcentral.
UACGGGGGGAGCAAGCGUUGUUCGGAUUUACUGGGCGUAAAGGGCGCGUAGGCGGCCACGACAAGUCAGUUGUGAAAUCUCUGGGCUUAACUCAGAACGGUCAACUGAUACUGUCGGGCUAGAGUGCAGAAGGGGCAACUGGAAUUCUCGGUGUAGCGGUGAAAUGCGUAGAUAUCGAGAGGAACACCUGCGGCGAAGGCGGGUUGCUGGGCUGACACUGACGCUGAGGCGCGAAAGCUAGGGGAGCGAACGGG